CAAUAGCGUAUAUUAAAGUUGUUGCAGUUAAAAAGCUCGUAGUUGGAUUUCUGGCUGGAGCGAUCGGUCCGCCCCGCAAGGGGUGUGUACUAGCGUCGUCUCCGACCAUCCUUGUGGGAACUGUGCGGCCGUUAACUCGGUUGUAUAUGGGAACACAUCGUUUACUGUGAAAAAAUUAGAGUGUUCAAAGCAAGCUAAAGCUCUGAAUACAUUAGCAUGGAAUAACGCGAGAGGACUCGGUCCUUAUUUUGUUGGUCUUCAAGGAUGGAGUAAUGAUUAAGAGGGACAGUUGGGGGCAUUCGUAUUUCAUUGCUAGAGGUGAAAUUCUUGGAUUUAUGAAAGACGAACUUCUGCGAAAGCAUUUGCCAAGGAUGUUUUCAUUGAUCAAGAACGAAAGUUGGGGGCUCGAAGACGAUUAGAUACCGU
RNAcentral lists this ribosomal RNA (426 nucleotides) under uncultured eukaryote. RNAcentral describes it as "bacterial SSU rRNA". It matches the Rfam family "Eukaryotic small subunit ribosomal RNA", at positions 592 to 1018 of the family's 1831-position model. The record is from RNAcentral.